This 468-nucleotide ribosomal RNA is filed under the name uncultured bacterium. RNAcentral describes it as "partial 16S ribosomal RNA". It matches the Rfam family "Bacterial small subunit ribosomal RNA", at positions 28 to 507 of the family's 1533-position model. The record is from RNAcentral.
GACGAACGCUGGCGGCGUGCUUAACACAUGCCAGUCGAACGGAAAGGCCCUGCUUUUGUGGGUUGCUCGAGUGGCGAGCGGGUGAGUAACACGUGAGUAACCUCCCCUUGACUUUGGGAUAACUUCAGGAAACUGGGGCUCAUACCGCAUAGGAGCUCCUGCUGCACGGUGGUGGUUGGAAAGUUUCGGCGGUUGUGGAUGGACUCGCGGGUUAUCAGCUUGUUGGUGGAGUAGUGGCUUACCAACGCUUCGACGGAUAGCAGGCCUGGGAGGGUGACCGGCGACAUGGGGACUGAGAUACGGCGCAGACUCCUACGGGAGGCAGCAGGGGGGAAUAUUGCACAAUGGGCGGAAGCCUGAUGCAGCAACGCGGCGUGCGGGAUGACGUCCUUCGGGUUGUAAACCGCUUUCGAAUGUGACGAAGCGUGAGUGACGGUAACGGGUAAAGAAGCACCGGCUAACUACGUG